CAUGCCGUAAACGAUGAGUGCUAAGUGUUAGGGGGUUUCCGCCCCUUAGUGCUGCAGUAAACACAAUAAGUACUCCGCCUGGGAAGUACGAUCGCAAGAUUAAAACUCAAAGGAAUUGACGGGGACCCGCACAAGCAGCGGAGCAUGUGGUUUAAUUCGAAGCAACGCGAAGAACCUUACCUGGACUUGACAUCCCCUGAAUGACUCGUAAUGGAGGAAGCCCUACGGGGCAGGGAGACAGGUGG
This 245-nucleotide ribosomal RNA is filed under the name uncultured bacterium. Its description in RNAcentral is "partial 16S ribosomal RNA". It matches the Rfam family "Bacterial small subunit ribosomal RNA", at positions 796 to 1041 of the family's 1533-position model. The record is from RNAcentral.